Molecule: ribosomal RNA, 253 nt
Filed under: uncultured bacterium
Lineage: Bacteria
Description: partial 16S ribosomal RNA
Rfam family: Bacterial small subunit ribosomal RNA
Source: RNAcentral
UACGUAGGGUGCAAGCGUUGUCCGGAAUUAUUGGGCGUAAAGAGCUCGUAGGCGGUUUGUCGCGUCUGGUGUGAAAAUCCAGGGCUUAACCCUGGACCUGCAUCGGGUACGGGCAGACUAGAGUGCGGUAGGGGAGAUCGGAAUUCCUGGUGUAGCGGUGAAAUGCGCAGAUAUCAGGAGGAACACCGGUGGCGAAGGCGGGACUCUGGGCCGAUACUGACGCUGAGGAGCGAAAGCGUGGGGAGCAAACAGG